Long non-coding RNA from Chroicocephalus ridibundus (black-headed gull), 1390 nucleotides. RefSeq lists it as uncharacterized. Lineage: Eukaryota; Metazoa; Chordata; Aves; Charadriiformes; Laridae. The record is from RefSeq and is a predicted model, not a curated record. The transcript has 6 exons.
UUCCCCACUGCCACUACUACCAGCUUCCUCCUAUGUCUUCAGUAAUGGUUACUCUGCAGAUGUAAGUGGCUGGCUGAGAGGGACGUGCUGCUGGGCCAGGCAGCAGCUGCCUGGAAAGGUACAAUGGCUAUUUUCCCUUCUCUCAGUGUAUCUAUGUAUGUUAGCAGUCUGGCUGAAUUAAAUGGAUCGUUCAUGCAGAUAUGCAGCAGAGUUUGUCCUUGAAAUAGAAUCUUAGAUCACAACAUUGCUGAUGACCUACAGAUAGAAAAAAGGCAUGGCGUGUUGGGGUGAAAAGAAAGAGGAAAGAGGAAAGGUGAAGUGAAGUGAAGCUAAAUGAAGUGAAGAGAGAAGAGGACGUCCUUCAUAGUUGUAUGAACUUUACAGUUCAUCUGUGUGCUGACACCAUCCCUGUCCUAUGGGAUCAUGAACAGAUGACUAGAAGUUAAAUAUACUUUUUUACCAUUUGCAGUUUCUAAGAUUUUCUUCUCUGACAGGAAACUUUGUGGUGCCCCACAUUUCAGCAGCGCAACAUGCCUCGGCAGAGUGUCAGUGCAUUAGGACUCCAGGAUAUCAUCAUCCUUCACCAUUGUCAGAGAGAGGGGACCUGGACAGCAGUCAGAGACUAUCGUAUGUUGGAGAAGUGUUUAAAUGAAGCCAUGAAGAAUGUUCAUCAUGAUUACAGAAGGAAAGCAUUUGCCAGAUAUUUUGGCUUGUGGAAGACACAGGCAUAGGACUGACAACAAAGUCCGGGGGAAGAUAUGCCAAGAUCUGCUGGAGAAAGAAUCUCAACAAAGAGUCAGACAAUAGGGAAAAGCCUCUCUUUACUUUUGCUGGCCAGAUUGCAUGUAAAAUUCACAUAGACACACACAGCGUAUAAAUAAGGCAAGGGCUGCACAUUUACCGCAGAAGUUGGUUUGUCUAUUGAUGUUGCCUCCGUAGCAGUCUCAUCCUGACCGUAUGCCAAAUAGCUCCUGGCAGAUGCUCAGCUCAGUGAGCCUACAUUCCUUAGCAGCUACAGUUUAGCAAAUACUUGUAAGAGACAGAGACAGACUGUGAAGCUGCUGGUUCAGAAAGGAUCCUGCUUCAGAGGUGGAUGACGAUUCCAUAAAGAAAACAAAUGACAGCUACAGGUUCGAACAGGCCAAGGCAGCCUUGUGCAGACCAUGCUGAUCUUUGGCAUAAGGGACAACUAAUUAGUCCCAAACAAUGAUACUUCUCUCAAAAAUAUGAUCCCAAAGUGAAUUCUGAAGGUUAUAUUUCAGGAGGAGUAAGUUCUCUAAAAAUGCAUGGAUACUUCUAAAUCUUAGCUGAACUGUAGGAAUAUUGCAUGUUACAAAUAGGAUUUUGAAAAGUGAUACAAAGUCAUAUAAGAUGGAGCUCUGGUUCUAGU